This 254-nucleotide ribosomal RNA is filed under the name uncultured bacterium. RNAcentral's name for it is "partial 16S ribosomal RNA". It matches the Rfam family "Bacterial small subunit ribosomal RNA", at positions 524 to 776 of the family's 1533-position model. The record is from RNAcentral.
UACGGAGGGUGCGAGCGUUGUCCGGAAUCACUGGGCGUAAAGGGCGCGUAGGCGGCUUCUCAAGCGUGUGGUGAAAGUCCGGGGCUCAACCCCGGAUCGGCCGUGCGGACUGGGGAGCUCGAGUUCUGUAGAGGCGGGUGGAAUUCCGGGUGUAGCGGUGGAAUGCGUAGAGAUCCGGAAGAACACCGGUGGCGAAGGCGGCCUGCUGGGCUAUGGCUGACACUGAGGCGCGGACAGCGUGGGGAUCAAACAGG